This 21-nucleotide non-coding RNA is filed under the name Arabidopsis thaliana (thale cress). Lineage: Eukaryota; Viridiplantae; Streptophyta; Magnoliopsida; Brassicales; Brassicaceae. The record is from RNAcentral.
UGGUGUUUGGUGGUAGUUGUA